UCUUUGCUAUAAAAGCCUGAGUGAUCAUCUGUGUUUAUUUCUCUCUUUCCUCUACAGAGUAAGGGAUGUGUUUGAACAGAAGCAGAGCUCUGGGACGUGUGGACAGACUUUCACUGUAAUGAUGGACGUCCGCUCAUGGACAGAAGUAUAACCCCUGCUGGACAUCGUGCUAGGUCUCGGGGGGGACCUGAAUCAUCCCCAUCCCUUCAUUCACACAACACUCACUCAUAUCGCAGAGAUCUGACUGGGAUCGAACCAGCAACCUCUGAACCAUGAGGCAGCGCUCUAACCUGUGAGCCACAGAUCUCUUGCUUGAACUUGUGAAGGAACUUAUAUUUCACUGUUAACCUGUAAUUUUACAAUAAACUAAUUAAACUUUCAAUUGUGUGGGUGUCAUUUGACAGGCUAUGGUGGGACUUGAACCCAUGCUUCAAUCGUAGCUUUGAAUGUAAUGAACACUGUUUAGCCACUAGUGCCACCGUGGCUCUUACGCUGCGUGAUGGCGUUUGGGGCACUUUGUUGGAUAUAAGGCCAACAAUAUAGCAUAAGCAUUAAUGGGGUUCGAACUCAGAUCUCCUUGAGUAAACCACAACGCUUUAUGAACUGAGC
This is a long non-coding RNA of Sinocyclocheilus anshuiensis, 609 nucleotides long. The record is from Ensembl. NCBI's taxonomy places the organism in Eukaryota, Metazoa, Chordata, Actinopteri, Cypriniformes, Cyprinidae.